UACGAAGGGGGCUAGCGUUGUUCGGAAUUACUGGGCGUAAAGCGCACGUAGGCGGGUUGUUAAGUCAGGGGUGAAAUCCUGGAGCUCAACUCCAGAACUGCCUUUGAUACUGGCAACCUAGAGGCUGGAAGAGGUUAGUGGAAUUCCCAGUGUAGAGGUGAAAUUCGUAGAUAUCGGGAGGAACACCAGUGGCGAAGGCGACUACCUGGCCUGUUCUUGACGCUGAGGCGCGAAAGCUAGGGGAGCAAACGGG
RNAcentral lists this ribosomal RNA (253 nucleotides) under uncultured bacterium. Its description in RNAcentral is "partial 16S ribosomal RNA". It matches the Rfam family "Bacterial small subunit ribosomal RNA", at positions 524 to 776 of the family's 1533-position model. The record is from RNAcentral.